CGGCGCGCCUAACACAUGCAAGUCGAACGGUUAAAGCAUCUUCGGAUGUGUAUAAAGUGGCGAACGGCUGAGUGACACGUGGGCAACCUGCCCUUUGCACUGGGAUAGCCUCGGGAAACCGAGGUUAAUACCGGAUACUCCAUAUCCACCGCAUGAUAGAUAUGGGAAAGCUCCGGCGGCAAAGGAUGGGCCCGCGGCCUGUUAGCUAGUUGGUGGGGUAGUGGCCUACCAAGGCAAUGAUGGGUAGCCGGGUUGAGAGACCGACCGGCCAGAUUGGGACUGAGACACGGCCCAGACUCCUACGGGAGGCAGCAGUGGGGAAUCUUGCACAAUGGGCGAAAGCCUGAUGCAGCGACGCCGCGUGCGGGAUGAAGGCCUUCGGGUUGUAAACCGCUUUCAGCAGGGACGAGGCCGCAAGGUGACGGUACCUGCAGAAGAAGCCCCGGCUAAC
RNAcentral lists this ribosomal RNA (451 nucleotides) under Fannyhessea vaginae. Its description in RNAcentral is "bacterial SSU rRNA". It matches the Rfam family "Bacterial small subunit ribosomal RNA", at positions 40 to 501 of the family's 1533-position model. The record is from RNAcentral. Lineage: Bacteria; Bacillati; Actinomycetota; Coriobacteriia; Coriobacteriales; Atopobiaceae.